UUUGAUCAAAUAACGAAUCAGGCUCUCAAGUUUGGGCAAACUAAAAAAGAUCCGUCAAGCUCAAAAUUCCAUAACAAAAUUAUCUAGAUAAAUGUAAUUGGAUUGAUUCAUACAUGAGCUCCUAUGUUGGGAAAGUUAUUUAAAAAUAUUUUUGCUGAAUCUAGAUAUGGUUUUGAAGAAAAGAAAAAGAGACUGCUCGUCUAUGGAAGAUGAUGACCAACACUUUCCUUUCCUAUUUUUGGUUGUCCUUAUACUGCCGCAGCAAUCAAAUCUUUAAUCUUGACAGGCAAGUCGGACCAGAGGUUUCUGAUAUAAUAUGGGCAUCAGAGGACAAAUUCAGUAGCAAAUCUGCAAGAUUCUAGGUAAUAUAUGAUUAUGCAGGUGUAUCUGUACAGUUUAUAUACUCUUCAAUCUCGUCUUUCUGUACAGUUUAUAUACUCUUCAAUCUCGUCUUUCACAAUUACAUGUUACUGCACAGUUUAUAUACAAGACUGGUAUUCUCCCAUGUGAAAGACGGAAGUUUUGGAGAGGCGGUGAGAAGGCCAGAUAGAAGACCAACAAUGAAGGCACUGUUAUAAGUGGUUGGUUCUGCUUGGAUAGAAUUGUUUCGGGAAUCAAUGUAGGUGUCAUUGAGAAAUGGUCCACCAACAAGAGCUCCAGUUGCUAUGUUUGGAUUUGGAGAUGGUGAAUGAAGCCACUUGAACCCAUCCUUGCAACCUGUAUUAGCAUCUGCUAGAAUUGAAGCUCCCCAAUGAUGUACAUAUUUGGGGUAGUCACUGCUAUAUCCAACGAGGUAGCUCAUUUACAUUGGAUUACUUCCCAGAACA
Non-coding RNA from Coffea arabica (coffee), 827 nucleotides. The record is from RefSeq and is a predicted model, not a curated record. NCBI's taxonomy places the organism in Eukaryota, Viridiplantae, Streptophyta, Magnoliopsida, Gentianales, Rubiaceae.